GGUGUUGUUAAAUUGGAGGUGCAGCAGUGGUGAUGAUGGUAGUGGUGGUGAGAAGGAUUGGUGGUGAUGAAACUAGUGGUGAUGAAGAUGGCUGGUGAUGAAGAUGGGUAUUGAGAAAGAUAUUGGUGGUGUUGAAGAUAAUUUUGGUGAUGAAGAUGAGUAUUGAGGAUGAUAUUGGUGGUGUUGAAGAUAAUUUUGGUGAUGAAGAUGGGUAUUGAGGAUGAUAUUGGUGGUGUUGAAGAUAAUUUUGGUGAUGAAGAUGGGUAUUGAGGAUGAUAUUGGUGGUGUUGAAGAUAAUUUUGGUGAUGAAGAUGGGCAUUGAGAAAAAUAUUAGUGGUGUUGAAGGUGGGUAUUAAAAAAAGAUGGAUAUUUUUAAAAAGAAGA
This is a long non-coding RNA of Eriocheir sinensis (Chinese mitten crab), 384 nucleotides long. RefSeq lists it as uncharacterized. NCBI's taxonomy places the organism in Eukaryota, Metazoa, Arthropoda, Malacostraca, Decapoda, Varunidae. The record is from RefSeq and is a predicted model, not a curated record. The transcript has 2 exons.